UACGUAGGGUGCGAGCGUUAAUCGGAAUUACUGGGCGUAAAGCGUGCGCAGGCGGCUUUUUAAGCCAGAUGUGAAAUCCCCGGGCUUAACCUGGGAACUGCAUUUGGAACUGGAAGGCUAGAGUGCGGCAGAGGGGGGUAGAGUUCCACGUGUAGCGGUGAAAUGCGUAGAUAUGUGGAGGAAUACCGGUGGCGAAGGCGGCCUCCUGGCUUAAUACUGACGCUGAGGUGCGAAAGCGUGGGGAUCAAACAGG
Molecule: ribosomal RNA, 253 nt
Filed under: uncultured bacterium
Lineage: Bacteria
Description: partial 16S ribosomal RNA
Rfam family: Bacterial small subunit ribosomal RNA
Source: RNAcentral